CCUACGGGAGGCAGCAGUGGGGAAUAUUGGACAAUGGGGGGAACCCUGACCCAGCCAUGCCGCGUGUGUGAAGAAGGCCCUCGGGUUGUAAAGCACUUUCAGUGAGGAAGAACGCCUGGUGGUUAAUACCCAUCAGGAAAGACAUCACUCACAGAAGAAGCACCGGCUAACUCCGUGCCAGCAGCCGCGGUAAUACGGAGGUGCGAGCGUUAAUCGGAAUUACUGGGCGUAAAGCGCGCGUAGGUGGCUUGAUAAGCCGGUUGUGAAAGCCCCGGGCUCAACCUGGGAACGGCAUCCGGAACUGUCAAGCUAGAGUGCAGGAGAGGAAGGUAGAAUUCCCGGUGUAGCGGUGAAAUGCGUAGAGAUCGGGAGGAAUACCAGUGGCGAAGGCGGCCUUCUGGACUGACACUGACGCUGAGGUGCGAAAGCGUGGGUAGCAAACAGGAUUAGAUACCCUAGUAGUC
This 464-nucleotide ribosomal RNA is filed under the name Vreelandella stevensii. RNAcentral describes it as "partial 16S ribosomal RNA". It matches the Rfam family "Bacterial small subunit ribosomal RNA", at positions 338 to 795 of the family's 1533-position model. Lineage: Bacteria; Pseudomonadati; Pseudomonadota; Gammaproteobacteria; Oceanospirillales; Halomonadaceae. The record is from RNAcentral.